This 1044-nucleotide long non-coding RNA is filed under the name Ovis aries (sheep). Its description in RNAcentral is "lncRNA (ENSOARG00000025531.1)". The record is from RNAcentral. Lineage: Eukaryota; Metazoa; Chordata; Mammalia; Artiodactyla; Bovidae.
CCUGGAGAAUCCCAGGGACGGGGGAGCCUGGUGGGCUGCUGUCUAUGCGGUUCCACAGAGUCGGACACAACUGAAGCGACUUAGCAGCAGCAGCAGCAGCAUGUUGUAAUAUGGUCUCAGCAUAGCUAAGCUAUUUUAGCAAAAUCUAUUUUGCAUGAUUUUAUGUACACUUUUCCCCCAAGGUGAUCAGAUUUAUUAGCUGCUUUAAUCAUGUUUAAUGUGACGCUCUAUUGUAAUUUACCAAUUUGUAAUUCAUGUAUAAUAAAGGAGUACAUAGCAUCAUUUAUGCUCUACUCUGUUACCAUUAAUUCUUCUCUCCCCACCUCCACCUUGUUGAAAUGAAAUGCUUUCUUUAAGAUACUUUAUAAAAUGUGCUUGUACUUUCCACACAGAACCAAACAAAGAGAAGGAGGCUGGAACUGCACCAGCAAAAGAACCAAAUAAAGAAAAGGAGGCCGGAACUUCACCGGGAAAAGAAGUUAAACAAGGUCAUGGCCACAUGCAGUCACAUGCUCAGGAACAUAAACUGCCAUGUAUGUGUUUGCUCUACAUGCCUAGAAAGCAAAUCGAUUUAGGAUAGAAAGAGACAUCCCUAAAUAAAGAAGGUAGGUGGUGGAAGUUAUUUCUAAAUAUCCAGUCCCCUUCAACUAUUACUUACUUUGAUCAAGGACAGAGAAAUUUCAAAGAAAAUACUCAAGUAAAAAGUAGACACAAUAAUCAUUGCUACAUAUAUAGCCCUGGCUGAGAAAGAAUUCUUGCAUGAACGUGAGCAAGACUGACAGGUGCAACAGACCUGCCUUCCAGUUUACACUAGAAUCCCUGUCCUUCACCCUCCCCCAACCCUCAGUCCAUCUAAUUGUUUUUAUUUUUAUUAUUUAUUUAUUUAUUUAUUUUACUUUAUUUUACUUUACAAUACUGUAUUGGUUUUGCCAUACAUUGACAUGAAUCCACCACGGGUGUACAUGCGUUCCCAAACAUGAACCCCCCUCCCACCUCCCUCCCCCUAACAUCUCUCUGGGUCAUCACCGUGCACCAGCCCCAAGC